This 1808-nucleotide long non-coding RNA is filed under the name Macaca mulatta (Rhesus monkey). RNAcentral's name for it is "lncRNA (ENSMMUG00000009347.4)". Lineage: Eukaryota; Metazoa; Chordata; Mammalia; Primates; Cercopithecidae. The record is from RNAcentral.
AUGGGGAAGGGCGUGCGGCCGGCGCUACCCCAGAGGAAAAGCCCAGCGGAGCGGGGCUGGGCAGGAGCCGGUGGCGGCGGUGCGCUGGGCCUUCUGCCUUGGAUCCUCCGCAGUCGGCACCACUUCCCUGCUCAGAUUCGAACCCAGAUACGGCUCCCAUGGCUCCAGGGUGCCCAGUCUUGCAGCCAGCUCGCCGCCCGAACCCUGGAUGGAAGAAGCGCUCACUGGCCGCUACCUCUGCUGUUUCUGGCACCAGAUGGGCAGCUUCCGGGGACCGGCUUGCCAUCAGCAGGCACGAUGCUGUGGCCAUCCCAGUGGAACCCCUCUGCCCGGCUUUGUGUCCUGGCAUCCCCACCAGAGUGCCCCGCUGUCCUGCGCAGAUGUCAGGAGUAUCUGGAUGCCCCAUGGGCACUUCAACGGCCCAAUUCGGAGUUUUUUGUUUUGUUUUGUUUUAAGAGAUUGAGACUGUGAACCUGAACUCCCUUGAUCUCCUCCCGUUGGGCCCAGGAGGGAGCCUAAUCCAGGCCCAACCGGGCUCACUGAGAAGGUGCGGGAAGCCCCCAACGACUCCUACUCGUGUGCGGCCCUUACUGGGCCGGGACGCUGCAGUGGUCGAGCCGCUGGGUGUCUGCAACCGGGAGCUCCCCCGCCGCUGGGGGCAAUAAACGGAAUCGGUUUCCCACGCUUUCCCUCUUGAUCUCAGAACCUUUAAAAAUCCGCCAACGAAUGUCGUUGCCUGGAUGCGCUGCGUGUGACCUUCAGCCGUGUGUUCACGCGUACCCGCAGCCGUGGAGUGGCGGUCCCUUCCUGCCGCCGCAACCCCGGGGCCGCCGGUCCGCGCACACCGGCAGCAACUUCGUUACCCACAGCGCCCGCGUCCUGCGGCUCGCGCGGAACUGCGCGCGGGAAGGUGGCAGAGGGACCGCUCCAGAACGCUGCUCGCGUAGACGCUGCCUCUGUCUUCAGAUCGCAGUUCGGCCGCGCGCGGGCGGGGCCCUGGCAGCAACGAAAAUGGCGAGUCUCGUAGCCUUCCGGGCCUGAUGGCCGCAUUCCGGGAGUCGCCAGGUGGGAGUCCGCCUUCCGCGUCCCCAAACGCCCAGAGCGCGGGACAAGGGCCGGCGGCCGGGUGACCAAGCCGGUUCCCCGCAUAGGCUUGCGCCAGAAUCCAUAUUCAGCUUGCAAGGCCCCCUCCGGCCGUCUCUCCGCAGAGCGCCCUGCCCCACACUGCCGGCCCUCUUAGCUUGAAAACCAAAUUUUGCCUUUGAUCCUGAGAGAUUGAUACCCCACAGGUGAAACCGUGGAGACGGAGCUGCGGUGGGUUUCUUCUCUACGCCUCAGUUUCCCCGUCUGUGAAAUGGGACCCGGCGCGCCUGUGCUCCUCCGGGAGUUUAUUGCAGGGCUGGCUGGAGAGAAUGGCUGGGUGGAAGCCGCCAGGUGGAGGCCCAUGGUCGCCCACCCCGUGGGCCUCAUUUGCUGGGCGGGGGUCAAAGGCUUGCGAGGCAGGGAUCGCCCCAAGGAGGCUCUGGAGCCGGCCCUGCCAGUCCCUGUCUCCUCCCCUCGCUCCCCUUCCCCCGGCCUUCCCGGAACUCUCUUCGCCCGCUGGGUGGAGGAGGGGCGAGGGCCGGCUCCGCCGUCCCCGGGGUCGCUCUCCUCCCACCCCCACCGCAGAAUCUGGCCCGCCCUGGGCUUUCCUCUCAGGUCCCUUUGGGUCUCCAGAAACCCGGAGGUUUCGCGCAGACUCGAGCCUGAGAUGGCAUCAUCCAGCACCCCAAAUCCUGCGGAGGGCAGAGGGGAUUUGGGGGAGAAGG